AGAAAGAUAUGCCAUUUUGGUAAAUAAAAAUGCUCUUUAUCGUAUCCUUGAAUAUCGUUUUUCUCAAUAUUUCUUUGUCUUUAGUUCGAUAUCAAUCCUUAAAUAUAUAUAUAACAUACAAUAUAUAACAUACAAUAUAUAACAUACAACACAAUAUACUAAUUACUACAACACAAUAUAUAUAUUAUAUACAAUAUAUACUAAUUAUUACAACACAAUAUAUACAUAAUAUACAAUAUAUACUAAUUACUACAACACACUAUAU
RNAcentral lists this long non-coding RNA (265 nucleotides) under Nicotiana benthamiana. RNAcentral's name for it is "long non-coding RNA (NBEN_LNC006331)". Lineage: Eukaryota; Viridiplantae; Streptophyta; Magnoliopsida; Solanales; Solanaceae. The record is from RNAcentral.